Molecule: ribosomal RNA, 305 nt
Filed under: uncultured bacterium
Lineage: Bacteria
Description: bacterial SSU rRNA
Rfam family: Bacterial small subunit ribosomal RNA
Source: RNAcentral
AGAUCCUACGGGAGGCAGCAGUGGGGGAUAUUGCACAAUGGGGGAAACCCUGAUGCAGCGACGCCGCGUGAGUGAAGAAGUAUUUCGGUAUGUAAAGCUCUAUCAGCAGGGAAGAAGAAAGACGGUACCUGACUAAGAAGCCCCGGCUAACUACGUGCCAGCAGCCGCGGUAAUACGUAGGGGGCAAGCGUUAUCCGGAUUUAUUGGGUGUAAAGGGUGCGUAGACGGGAAAUUAAGUUAGUUGUGAAAUCCCUCGGCUUAACUGAGGAACUGCAACUAAAACUGAUUUUCUUGAGUACUGGAGG